UCCUACGGGGGGCAGCAGUGAGGAAUAUUGGUCAAUGGGCGCGAGCCUGAACCAGCCAAGUCGCGUGAGGGAAGACGGUCCUAUGGAUUGUAAACCUCUUUUGUCGGGGAGCAAAAGACGCCAUGUGUGGCGUUCCGAGAGUACCCGAAGAAAAAGCAUCGGCUAACUACGUGCCAGCAGCCGCGGUAAUACGUAGGGGGCGAGCGUUGUCCGGAAUCACUGGGCGUAAAGGGCGCGUAGGCGGUUUAAUAAGUCAGUGGUGAAAACUGAGGGCUCAACCCUCAGCCUGCCACUGAUACUGUUAG
This 305-nucleotide ribosomal RNA is filed under the name uncultured bacterium. RNAcentral's name for it is "bacterial SSU rRNA". It matches the Rfam family "Bacterial small subunit ribosomal RNA", at positions 337 to 639 of the family's 1533-position model. The record is from RNAcentral.